CUUGGCGACCAUAGCGCUUUGGACCCACCUGAUUCCAUGCCGAACUCAGUAGUGAAACGAAGCAGCGCCGAUGGUAGUGUGGGGUCUCCCCAUGUGAGAGUAGGACAUCGCCAGGC
Molecule: ribosomal RNA, 116 nt
Filed under: Salinivibrio costicola
Lineage: Bacteria; Pseudomonadati; Pseudomonadota; Gammaproteobacteria; Vibrionales; Vibrionaceae
Also listed under: 22 other names
Source: RNAcentral